RNAcentral lists this ribosomal RNA (220 nucleotides) under uncultured fungus. Its description in RNAcentral is "partial small subunit ribosomal RNA". The stretch from base 95 to 220 matches the Rfam family "Eukaryotic small subunit ribosomal RNA", at positions 737 to 864 of the family's 1831-position model. Lineage: Eukaryota; Fungi. The record is from RNAcentral.
GGUACGGUGCGCCUGACCCACGGUCGCAAGGCCGCGAGUGUCGGUGUGCGCCUGCCAUCUUUCUGGUCAACCUGCUGCUCUUCACCGGGUGGCAGGCGAUCCAGUUCUUUUACUUUGAAAAAAUUAGAGUGUUUAAAGCAGGCUUGCGCUAUGAAUACAUUAGCAUGGAAUAAUAAUUUAGGACUUUAUUCCUAUUUUAUUGGUUUCUAGGAGUAAAGUA